RNAcentral lists this ribosomal RNA (577 nucleotides) under Solitalea canadensis. Its description in RNAcentral is "bacterial SSU rRNA". It matches the Rfam family "Bacterial small subunit ribosomal RNA", at positions 338 to 916 of the family's 1533-position model. Lineage: Bacteria; Pseudomonadati; Bacteroidota; Sphingobacteriia; Sphingobacteriales; Sphingobacteriaceae. The record is from RNAcentral.
CCUACGGGAGGCAGCAGUGAGGAAUAUUGGACAAUGGAUGGAAAUCUGAUCCAGCCAUGCCGCGUGCAGGAAGACGGCCUUAUGGGUUGUAAACUGCUUUUGUCGGGGAAUAAACCUAGAUACGUGUAUUUAGUUGAAGGUACCCGAAGAAUAAGGAUCGGCUAACUCCGUGCCAGCAGCCGCGGUAAUACGGAGGAUCCAAGCGUUAUCCGGAUUUAUUGGGUUUAAAGGGUGCGUAGGCGGUAAAUUAAGUCAGAGGUGAAAGCCUGCAGCUCAACUGUAGAACUGCCUUUGAUACUGGUUUACUUGAGUACAGAUGAAGUGGGCGGAAUGUGACAAGUAGCGGUGAAAUGCAUAGAUAUGUCACAGAACACCGAUUGCGAAGGCAGCUCACUAAAGUUUAUUGACGCUGAGGCACGAAAGUGUGGGGAUCAAACAGGAUUAGAUACCCUGGUAGUCCACACUGUAAACGAUGAUAACUCGCUGUCGGCGAUACACAGUCGGUGGCCAAGCGAAAGCAUUAAGUUAUCCACCUGGGGAGUACGACCGCAAGGUUGAAACUCAAAGGAAUUGACGG